This 2068-nucleotide long non-coding RNA is filed under the name Homarus americanus (American lobster). RNAcentral describes it as "uncharacterized LOC121870871". The record is from RNAcentral. Lineage: Eukaryota; Metazoa; Arthropoda; Malacostraca; Decapoda; Nephropidae.
AUAGUUUCCACAAAAAGCAACUUAAUCAACUGAGGCAGGAUGCUUGAGGGCUUGGCAACAUGGGUACUCAACAAUUAUCUGGGAAAGUACCUGGAAAAUUUACACACAGACCAGCUCUCAAUUGGUCUAUUGACGGGGGAAGUGGAACUGGAGAAUGUACCACUACGGAAAGAUGCACUGCGGCACCUGGAUAUGCCAGUUGAGGUCCGGGCUGGAUUUGUUGGGAAAGUUAAACUUCAAAUUCCAGUUUCACGAUUACGUUCAGAACCAUGGGUCAUUAUGUUUGAUCAGCUCUACCUUGUGGCAGGACCUGUAAAACUUGAAGAGGUAUGUCUAUGAGUGCUUCAUUCCUUGCCAGUGUAGUGAUAGUGAGGUGAAGUGAUACAGUAAACUUCAAGGUAAAUACAGUAGGAAGAAGUAGAUAAUUAAUUUGGAGUACAAUAAUGAUAAAGAUUUCAUGCCAAAUGAAAAAAGAUAUAAUACCUCUUAUAAUGGACGAGAUACAUUCUUGAGGUUUGCUAAGCAAAAUACAAUAUCUGUUAAAAGAGGCCACUAUACUGUAAUGUACUUAUGGAGGUGUGUUUUUGCAAAUAGCAAAAUUUGUCAAAAUAAAUAAAUCCCUCUAAUUACUACUAUUUUAUUGCAGAAUGGCUAAAUAAGGAUUAAAUGUUGCAAAAUAGGUUUUAAACAUUAGAAAAAAGUUGCCGUUGCUUAGAAUUACAAGUACACUUGAUUUUCUACUGCCGUCUCCAUACAAAAAUGUAAACAUUAAGUGGCAAGCAAACAACUCCAGUGCAACAAUAAUAAAACAAGUAAAAUGGCUGUUGCGGGGUGACAAUGCUUAACUUUUAUACAUGUAUUCAAAUGAAGACUUUGUUAACAUCAAUGAUAAUGGAACUAAAUUUAAUAACACUCACCAGUUAAUUUUUUUGGAGCUUGCUGUUAUCGAGUAUGGUUUAAACCUGGGUUGUCAAAUAUGUGGCCUGGCGCCCUCUUACAUGUGGCCCGCGGCCCACGGCCCACUGGCUGCUCCAGCUGCACCUUGAGCAGCUAAGAGCCUAAGACACUAGCAUUUGAAGUGAGACUAUCUGUAUUGGAUAAUGCUGUUUUAUUCUAUUGAAUCUAUCGCUUCUAUUGAGUCUGUUCAAAGGCAAGUGCUUUUAGGAUGUUUUGUGAAUCUCACUCCAUUACGUAUCUGGUGUUAGACUGACGGCCUGCUAAAUGUGUUGUUAGCCCAUUUGACUAGUGGGGGUUUCCCUCAGCUGAAUAAAAUUGUCUGGUGUUUGCUAGAAUAAAAUACUCAGUGCAACAGCACCAAUGAAAGAGCAAUAUGAGAUAGUUUUAAUGGUUAAUUGUGGUUCUAAGCAUGCCACUGUACAAGUUGUGAGAUGGGCUGACCACUGGCUGUCUACUGGUAUUAGACGUGAUAGCUCUGAUACGGCUGACUCUCACUUGGGCAGUCACACGGGUACUAGUCCUGCAUAGUCGCUCAAGGCAGUUGGAGCGUUGCAUACAUCGGAAGCAGUAUCCAUUGUGUUUACUUUUGAGCCCAUAGUCAUGUUAUCAAAGAAAAGAACAAUUAAUGACAAGCGUCAGUUGGUACAGGAAAAGUGGAAUAUCUUGUACUUUUUUGUUGAAAUGAAUGGAAAACCGACAUGUUUGAUUUGUAAGCAACUUGUAGCUGUUGCCAAAGAUUACAAUGUUUGAAGGCAUUAUGAUCCUAACCAUGCUCAGAAGUAUAAUAAAUAUAGUGGCAAGUUACACGAAGACAAAGUUAAAGAGUUAUAACAGUCACUGAAAAAGCAGCAGUCAGUAUUUAAGAGUGUUCAUCAAGUCAGUGUUGCUGCAGUUAAGUCAAGUUACAGGAUUACCCAUAAAAUAGCUGUGUCAUUGAAGCCUUGAAAAAUGUCAAACAUUUGCAAAUGUUAGCCUUUCAAGAAAUACAGCUGCAGAGAGAAUUAAUGAAUUAUCAAAGAAUAUUAACAGUCAACUUAAAGGCAAAGUCCUUUACUGCAUUUUCUGUUGCAAUUGAUGAAAGUACAUUACCAAUAUAACUGAUAUGGCACAA